CGGGGUAUGGCCCAGUCUGGUUAAGGUGCCUGCUUUGGGAGCAGGAGAUCGCAAGUUCGAAUCUUGCUACCCCGA
RNAcentral lists this transfer RNA (75 nucleotides) under Bacteroidota bacterium. RNAcentral describes it as "Bacteroidetes bacterium (aquatic metagenome) tRNA-Pro". It matches the Rfam family "tRNA". From Rfam's summary of the family: Transfer RNA (tRNA) molecules are approximately 80 nucleotides in length. Their secondary structure includes four short double-helical elements and three loops (D, anti-codon, and T loops). The record is from RNAcentral. Lineage: Bacteria; Pseudomonadati; Bacteroidota.